This is a long non-coding RNA of Myotis myotis, 1464 nucleotides long. RefSeq lists it as uncharacterized. NCBI's taxonomy places the organism in Eukaryota, Metazoa, Chordata, Mammalia, Chiroptera, Vespertilionidae. The record is from RefSeq and is a predicted model, not a curated record. The transcript is spliced from 3 exons.
UGAGAUCCAUGGCCUCCUCUACCCACCCCCAUAUGCAGAUGCCUAACCUGGCCACACUGAUUUCUACAGGACCCCGGGCAUGGGCCCUCCAUCCUUGACAUGCCCUUCCCACAACCGCUGCUGCCCCUUCUCAACAGCUCAGCCCUCAGUACCUCCAGGAAGCCGUCCCUACUCCCUCUUUCCCGCGCUGCAGUAUGGGGACCCCUCACCUCUUGUCGACUCCCCUCUCCUAGCGGGGCACCUCCCACCUGUCUGAUUUCCCUCAGUCCCCAGUGCGGACCCUGUGCCUUUAUCCGCCCUGGCCUGCUGAGCAUGGUUUCUCACAGACUCAGCAUUUGCAGGGGCCCCCGGAUGAGACAGAGGAAAGACAAAAUGACAUUUGGGGGGAUGCGGGGCAAUGUCUGAGGACAUCUGUGGUUGUCACAAGUGGGGGUGCUGCUGCCAUUGAAUGGGUGGGGCCAGGGAUGCUGUUAACCCCCCAUAGGGCCCAGGACGGCUUCUCAGAGCGGGGCCGGCCCAGAUGUGGAGCGUGGGAAUUCAUCUCUGCCUCAGCCACCAGGUGCUGCCUGCUCCGUCAUCAAGGUCCACCAGCGGCAAGGCUUUCAGUGCCGGGUGACACCCGGAAGGAGAUUCCCGUCUGGCUUCAGUGUUCACAGCCUUAGGGGUGGCAAGGACCUCAGUCCCCGCCCCACCACCACAUCGGCGCAAAGCAGACCACAUGCCCACCUUGCCUCCCAUGUGUGCGUCUCCUGUGGCUGCUGUAAGACAUGACAACAGGCAGAGGCAACUGUUUCAGAACCGAGCCCACCGUCCCCGCGAGGGUGACACAACACUGCUCCCCACCUCCCUGCCCAGGCUGGGGGCCCUCAGACAGCGUGACCCCCUCGAGUGACUUUUCCCAACCUGCCCUACCCUGGCCCCAAACGCACCCCCUUCCUCCUCCACCCCUGCAAAAAGCAACCUGCUUCUGUUUGUUUUCCAAGAGGCCACAUUUCCCCCCCUUUCCACCCAUGAUGAUUACAAACUUAAGUUUACUUUGGCGGGAAACAGCACAGGGCCUGCCAAUGAAGACAGAACCCUCCCCACCCCAAGUCUCGAGUCCCAGGGUCCGGAGGCUUCUGCGGAGAUUUUGGAGACAACCCCACUGGGACAGUCUUUUUGGGGCUGCAAGCCCCCUGUGUUGGGGGUCAGCUGGGAUCUGGGUCACGCUCUGGCCUCAGCCAUGGUGGGUAAACACAGUGUGACCCAGGGACCGGUGGCCAGCCGUCGGCAGGCCUGGAUUCUGGACUCUGGGCCCAGCAGCGCCUGUCCGGCUCGAAACCGCGAAACACCGUGGGACCCGCAAGAAAUGCUCGUGUCGCGCGUUUUAAAACGUGAGAGAUCGAAUCCAGAGAGCCAUCAUUAUGACCCAUUAUUCGCAGGUAAUUUCGGAAAAUAAUUUUGACCUAUUGGGGGGGUGGCGGU